RNAcentral lists this non-coding RNA (173 nucleotides) under Candidatus Burkholderia verschuerenii. Its description in RNAcentral is "Burkholderia RNA 14". It matches the Rfam family "Burkholderia RNA 14". From Rfam's summary of the family: Co-purified with Hfq, expression confirmed by Northern blot. Putative functional homologue of PA-SraF. The record is from Rfam by way of RNAcentral. Lineage: Bacteria; Pseudomonadati; Pseudomonadota; Betaproteobacteria; Burkholderiales; Burkholderiaceae.
GUCGGCGUCGUGACCUUGCAGACGGCGUCCGUGCCGGUCGUCAGCGAAUUGCCGGGCCGCACCAGCGCGUUCCUCGAUGCGCAGGUGCGCGCGCGUGUCGAUGGCAUCGUGCUGCGUCGCGAGUUCACCGAAGGCGGGCUCGUCAAGCAGGGUCAGCGGCUGUACAAGAUCGA